AGAGGUAUAGAAAGGCGACAAGAAGAAGAGAGACGUCAGUGGUGUGAGAGGGGACGCUCUUCUAUCAGGGGCUGUAAUGUCAGGAGUUUGAUGUACCUUGAAACGAAACCAACGCUGGAGGAAAUACAUUUUACAUCCGUCUGCUUAAGUUUCGGUCUGAAAAUGACGCUGACACUCUUUGUUUAACCAGUCCUCAUCCAUGUGACUGAGUGUUGCGUUGCAGAGGAGUGGCCGUGCUUCUCACAGGCCCACAGCCUGCCUUAACUGUUCAGCUCACCACGCCGACUGACCGCAUGCUGCCACAGCAUUCCCUGACUGCGUCAGAGCUGUUUUUCUGUCUGUAGCUGCUUAUCAAAAAGCCUGAUUUGUAUAAAUAUCUGUGUUGUUUAGGCCUCCAAAUAAUACUCUGCUACUAAUUUCUACAGUAUAGACUGUCACUGUAUAAAAAGACCAAAGAAUGGUCAUGUUUGCCUGUUAGACAUAUUUCAGAGAAUGAUGUGCUCUGAUCAUUGUUCAAAUAAGCCUGGCUGAACAAAAAUCAUUUACUCUGUUUCUUAAAAAAAUCAAAAUAAAUAAAUAUAAUAAUAAUAAAAUUAAAAAAACCCUUAUUGCUCACUGGUAUUUCUCCACAGUAAUUACUGUUUCUUUUUGUCUGAUUAGAGACCUUUCACGUGGCUCAUAUAGUCCUUUUUCUUUUUUUUAAUGUGGCUUUAAUCCCCCAAUUGAGCUAUAUGAAUUCCCACACAUCAUACCUGAAUGUCUUAAUAUUUCUCUCAAACAACCUCAGUAUUCCAGGCAUAUCAUAUGCAUAAGAAAAAGAUUUGACCAGUUACCAUGUUGGCCUAAAUAACAAGCAUGGCAAGCAGCUUAACUCAGUCUGGAGGCUCACCCAGGAGUCUUUCAGUUACUAUUUAUUAUGCUCUUCAUAAAUAAUAAGAUUUUAAAAGGGUGGAGUGAUCCUUAACCAAUUAAGCAUUUUGGCCUGUUAUCAGUUUUUUCAGGUUUUGUGAACUGAAUUAUUUCAACAUGCAUGUUAUUCCAUUUUUUAUCAUAAAAAAAAUAUGUAUCACAUUGACACAAUGGAAGAAGAAUAAAAAUGAAUAAAGAAGAAGAAUAAACAUAAUCUUAGGAUGAGCGUCCUCCUGAAAGUCUGAAGGCCUGACUGGAGUUCAUUCAUGAAACUAAAAGAAUUGAUUCAGAUUUAAAUACAUGCUUUUUUUUUUAUUUAUACAUUUAGUAUUAUGUAUUUAUCCUGAUAACUCGUUAUUAUUGUCAUGCAAUGAAAUAUAAAGAUGUUAAGACAUGCACUCACAGGUAAAUACAUUUAAAAUAGUGAAUGACCCUUUUGUAAAUAACAAAGCUCUCCACAAAUCAUCGAGUUCAACACUGUGAAGUUAAUGAGAAAAUAAAAUCAGCAGUAAGCCUGUAUGCCGUUAAGUCAGAAUGCUG
Molecule: long non-coding RNA, 1449 nt
Organism: Larimichthys crocea (large yellow croaker)
Lineage: Eukaryota; Metazoa; Chordata; Actinopteri; Sciaenidae
Exons: 2
Source: RefSeq, a predicted model, not a curated record